UACAGAGGGUGCAAGCGUUAUUCGGAAUUAUUGGGCAUAAAGCGUAUGUAGGUGGUUUAGUAAGUCUGAUGUGAAAUCCCCGGACUCAAUUCGGGAAGUGCAUUGGAUACUGCUAGGCUUGAGUAUGGGAGAGGUGAGCGGAAUUCCAGGUGUAGAGGUGAAAUUCGUAGAUAUCUGGAGGAACAACAGAGGCGAAGGCGGCUCACUGGACCAUAACUGACACUGAGAUACGAAAGCGUGGGGAGCAAACAGG
Molecule: ribosomal RNA, 253 nt
Filed under: uncultured bacterium
Lineage: Bacteria
Description: partial 16S ribosomal RNA
Rfam family: Bacterial small subunit ribosomal RNA
Source: RNAcentral